Molecule: transfer RNA, 72 nt
Filed under: Schistosoma japonicum
Lineage: Eukaryota; Metazoa; Platyhelminthes; Trematoda; Strigeidida; Schistosomatidae
Description: tRNA-OTHER
Source: RNAcentral
GGCUCAAUGGUCCAAUGGCAAAGCGCUCGUUGCUGAACCAGAGGGUCCUGGGUUUGAUCCCCAACAGGGUCA